AUGUUGGGGUCCAACUGUGUCCAGAACACAGAGAAGUUGAUAGGCACGCUCUCGAGAGGACGACGAGUGUGUGGAUUGGAUCCCGAAGAGAGGAUAGACCUCGUGAGGCUCGCCAUGGGCUCACAGCAGUUCUACAACGACGGGCUGAUGGCUGCUGACCUUGUUGUCAGGCGGGAGUGGGACGGGUCGGUCACCGUCAAGAGAGUACAGGAGUUCCAAGUAGCAUGCGUUGUCUGGAUCGCCGGGCGUUUUCUUGCUCCGUCCACAAAGCAUGAUGAUCAUGGGUGCUUCGACGACGAGGCUCAACCCAAGCAGCCCCAUUUCCUUCCUCUCCUUCUCGUCCGCGCUGCCACGGUGACCCCUGACAGCGCACCAAUCCGCUCCGACCUCGUCGUUCGCCGACCGCCAUGGUCCAUGCCGCCCACGAUUACCUACUACAAAAUGCUGACACCGAAGCGCUGGGCGAAGAUCCUGGGGGAGAUGUGCGCCGUCUAG
Molecule: ribosomal RNA, 495 nt
Filed under: Triticum aestivum (bread wheat)
Lineage: Eukaryota; Viridiplantae; Streptophyta; Magnoliopsida; Poales; Poaceae
Description: partial small subunit ribosomal RNA
Source: RNAcentral